GACGAACGCUGGCGGCGUGCUUAACACAUGCAAGUCGAACGGAAAGGCCCUGCUUGCAGGGUACUCGAGUGGCGAACGGGUGAGUAACACGUGGGUGAUCUGCCCUGCACUUCGGGAUAAGCCUGGGAAACUGGGUCUAAUACCGGAUAGGAGCCAUUUUUAGUGUGAUGGUUGGAAAGUUUUUUCGGUGUAGGAUGAGCUCGCGGCCUAUCAGCUUGUUGGUGGGGUAAUGGCCUACCAAGGCGGCGACGGGUAGCCGGCCUGAGAGGGUGGACGGCCACAUUGGGACUGAGAUACGGCCCAGACUCCUACGGGAGGCAGCAGGGGGGAAUAUUGCACAAUGGGCGCAAGCCUGAUGCAGCGACGCCGCGUGGGGGAUGACGGGCUUCGGGUUGGAAACUCCUUUCGCUAGGGACGAAGCUUUUUGUGACGGUACCUAGAUAAGAAGCACCGGCUAACUACGUG
This 465-nucleotide ribosomal RNA is filed under the name uncultured bacterium. Its description in RNAcentral is "partial 16S ribosomal RNA". It matches the Rfam family "Bacterial small subunit ribosomal RNA", at positions 28 to 507 of the family's 1533-position model. The record is from RNAcentral.